GAUGAAGAACGUAGUGAAAUGCGAUAAGUAGUGUGAAUUGCAGAAUUCAGUGAAUCAUCGAAUCUUUGAACGCACAUUGCGCCCUUUGGUAUUCCAAAGGGCAUGCCUGUUCGAGCGUGAUUUGUACCCUCAAGCUUUGCUUGGUGUUGGGCGUCUUGUCUCUAGCUUUGCUGGAGACUCGCCUUAAAGUAAUUGGCAGCCGGCCUACUGGUUUCGGAGCGCAGCACAAGUCGCACUCUCUAUCAGCAAAGGUCUAGCAUCCAUUAAGCCUUUUUUUCAACUUUUGACCUCGGAUCAGGUAGGGAUACCCGCUGAACUUAAGCAUAUCAAUAAGCGGAGGA
RNAcentral lists this unclassified non-coding RNA (341 nucleotides) under soil metagenome. RNAcentral's name for it is "partial contains 5.8S ribosomal RNA, internal transcribed spacer 2, and large subunit ribosomal RNA". The stretch from base 1 to 120 matches the Rfam family "5.8S ribosomal RNA", at positions 35 to 154 of the family's 154-position model. The record is from RNAcentral.